RNAcentral lists this unclassified non-coding RNA (330 nucleotides) under soil metagenome. Its description in RNAcentral is "partial contains 5.8S ribosomal RNA, internal transcribed spacer 2, and large subunit ribosomal RNA". The stretch from base 1 to 120 matches the Rfam family "5.8S ribosomal RNA", at positions 35 to 154 of the family's 154-position model. The record is from RNAcentral.
GAUGAAGAACGCAGCGAAAUGCGAUAAGUAAUGUGAAUUGCAGAAUUCAGUGAAUCAUCAAAUCUUUGAACGCACAUUGCGCCCGCUAGUAUUCUGGCGGGCAUGCCUGUUCGAGCGUCAUUUCAACCAUCAAGCCCUGUUUAGGCUUGUGUUGGGGCCCUGCGGCUGCCGCAGCCCCCUAAAUGCAGUGGCGGGCUCGUUGUCACUCCGAGCGCAGUAGCGUAUCUCGCUCUGGGCGUGGCGGCGGGUGCUAGCCGUGAAACACCCACUAAGGUUGACCUCGGAUCAGGUAGGAAUACCCGCUGAACUUAAGCAUAUCAUAACGGAGGA